AACGAGGUCGCCGAGUGGUUAAGGCGUUCGACUGCUAAUCCAAUGUGCUCUGCACUCGUGGGUUCGAAUCCCAUCCUCGUCG
RNAcentral lists this transfer RNA (82 nucleotides) under Operophtera brumata (winter moth). It matches the Rfam family "tRNA". From Rfam's summary of the family: Transfer RNA (tRNA) molecules are approximately 80 nucleotides in length. Their secondary structure includes four short double-helical elements and three loops (D, anti-codon, and T loops). Further hydrogen bonds mediate the characteristic L-shaped molecular structure. tRNAs have two regions of fundamental functional importance: the anti-codon, which is responsible for specific mRNA codon recognition, and the 3' end, to which the tRNAs corresponding amino acid is attached (by aminoacyl-tRNA synthetases). tRNAs cope with the degeneracy of the genetic code in two manners: having more than one tRNA (with a specific anti-codon) for a particular amino acid; and 'wobble' base-pairing, i.e. permitting non-standard base-pairing at the 3rd anti-codon position. The record is from Rfam by way of RNAcentral. Lineage: Eukaryota; Metazoa; Arthropoda; Insecta; Lepidoptera; Geometridae.